AAAGCAGAUUGUAGCACAACAAAACAAGUGCCCUCUCUGAGGCUCGAACUCAGGACCUUCAGAUUAUGAGACUGACGCGCUGCCCACUGCGCUAAGAGGGCCUUCGCUUAGGGGUGCUUUCUACCUUUCAUAAGAAAAUACCUGCAGCACCUUCCGCUCGCUAAGUCGCUUCUGCAAGGUCGGGCUUGCAGGCAGAAGCACCUGGUCUCCCCCAGUGGGGACACGUGGGAGGGUCUCUCGCGGGAACGGAGCAGCCUGGGCUCAGGGAACGAGCCCCGCGCCGGGAAGAAAGCUGCCUGCCGGGAGCGCAUCCUCGUGAGGACCCGGAACCCGAGCCGCCGCGGCUCACCCAGAGGAGGGGGGGCCCUGGGGUGCGUGUGCGACGCCCGGCGCGCAGACUCUGGGCACGGCCACAAAGGAAACUUUGAAGAGGAACUUUUCUACUGCCUGCAUCAUGGAAGUCCUGGGAAAAGCAGGUAGAAUGGAGUCACCAUCACAUUGAGCUAGAUGCUGGUUCUAGAUAUUGGCAGACCGCUGGCCUCCCGAGGACCACAGGAAGGGGCCUGGCAGACUGGUGAUCCCAGUCAGAGAUGAAGAGGGUCCAAUUAAGAGGAGCCGACUGAUGCCUGGAGGUUUCCUCCCCAGGAGCGGCGAGCCUGUCAGAGCUGCACCUGGGCCUUUCUGUAUCUGGGAGAGAGUCUGGGCAUGAUUGGCUGGCUUCCCACCAACACAUGGGGCUUGAGGAGUGCACUGCCUCUGUUCCACGCCUGAUGUCAUCCACAUCCACACCUGUGCAUCUGGCCAGGAGAGUGACUAUCACUGUUGAGGGCAGUGUGAUGUGGCUGGCUAGAUACUUCUGAUGGUUUCUCUUGAGCUCAGCCUUUGCACUUCACCUGUGUGAGCCAGAGGGAAAGCUAGGGUGGAGAUGGACCAUCCUGGGUAAGCUGGGAUCCCACAGUGAGAUUCCACACCACGGGGUGUCAGAACCUCGAGUGCUGGUGGCAGCUGUGGUGGGGGUGGGGUGGCAUUCCUGUCCUUUGCCACUCAUUGGCUGUGUCACCUUGGAAAAGUUAUCUAAACCCCUUGGUGCCCCAGUCUUCUUUGUCCCAUGGCAAUCUGAGUAGUCCAGACCUGGUUGGAUGACUCUGAGCUUUCAUUGAGGUCAUAUAUGCAAAAAGUUUUUUUCAGCAGCAUUCUUUUUAUUUAAAAAGAUUUUUUAAAAUGGGAAUACUCACUAAAAGGAGUAUCUGACCUCAAUAUCUUUGGGUGUCUGGGAUUGAGGGGUGUUCCUGAAUGGGCAUCAGGGAUUGAUAAACCCUUGUGUUAAAGAGGAAAGAAACAUGAAAUGCAGCUUUAACAGUUAAAGACAGAUUUACUUUAGAUAAAAUCCGAGAGGGGCCUUUUGGACAGGAGUGCUUUCUCUUACAGACUAAGAGUACAUAUUGGUUUUGGGAUGAGGGGCUUUUCACAAGCUUGGAAUGUUUCUGGGUUGGGGAGAAGUUUAUGGCAAGGUUGGAAUGUUUCUGGGCAGAGGGGAGGUUUAUCUCGGGGCUGACAUCUUCCCAGCUGGAGUGGGGUUAUCUUGGGUCUAGCAUGUCUGUGGUUGGGGAGGAGUUUGGAAUGUUUCUGGUUGGAGAUGUUAUUUGUGGUUUAUGACUAUGCUGACCUUAGCCAUUAGGCUGAUGCCCUUAGGCUUUAGGUGGUUUUUGAUUAAGGUGAAUUUUAAAAUGAGGUGCUAGUCCACGAUGGUGAGGCUCCUGCUCUGUCAUCUUGCCCCCCUAAAUUGCAAAGCUUUGUUUUUGUGUAUGCAUAUAUACAUUUUUUUCCCUUAGGAGCAAAGGCAAUAGCUUAACUAAGAUGCUCAGAGGGGUCAUGAUGUAAAGAUUGGAUGCCUGGGGCGAGGGGUGUUUCAAGUGCCUUUAUUUCAGACCAGAGCUUCUCACCCUGAGGAAUAAUGCCAUUUGGGGCCAAAUCAUUCCUUGUUGUUGCAGACUGACUUGUGCAUUGCAGGAUGAUUAGCAGCAUCUCUGGCUCUACCCACAAGACACCAGUAGCACCCUCCACUCCAUCCCCACCUUAGUUUUGCCAAUAAAAAAUGUCUGUCCAAUGUCUCUGGGGAGGUGGUAGGAGG
Long non-coding RNA from Sapajus apella (tufted capuchin), 2131 nucleotides. RefSeq lists it as uncharacterized. The transcript is spliced from 3 exons. The record is from RefSeq and is a predicted model, not a curated record. Lineage: Eukaryota; Metazoa; Chordata; Mammalia; Primates; Cebidae.